UUUCGGGAUGCCGGCGAGUGGCGAACGGGUGAGUAAUACGUGGAAACCUAUCCCGAGGUGGGGGAUAACAGCUGGAAACGGCUGCUAAUACCGCAUAAGCCCUAAGGGGGAAAGAUUUAUCGCCUUGGGAGGGGUCCACGUCGGAUUAGCUAGUUGGUAGGGUAAAGGCCUACCAAGGCGACGAUCCGUAGCUGGUCUGAGAGGAUGGACAGCCACACUGGGACUGAGACACGGCCCAGACUCCUACGGGAGGCAGCAGUGGGGAAUAUUGCGCAAUGGGGGAAACCCUGACGCAGCGAUGCCGCGUGGGUGAAGAAGGCCUUCGGGUUGUAAAGCCCUUUCAGUGGGGAAGAUAGUGACGGUACCCACAGAAGAAGCUCCGGCUAACUCCGUGCCAGCAGCCGCGGUAAUACGGAGGGGGCGAGCGUUGUUCGGAAUUACUGGGCGUAAAGGGCGCGUAGGCGGUGCAGCAAG
RNAcentral lists this ribosomal RNA (474 nucleotides) under uncultured Magnetococcus sp. RNAcentral describes it as "bacterial SSU rRNA". It matches the Rfam family "Bacterial small subunit ribosomal RNA", at positions 78 to 587 of the family's 1533-position model. Lineage: Bacteria; Pseudomonadati; Pseudomonadota; Magnetococcia; Magnetococcales; Magnetococcaceae. The record is from RNAcentral.